RNAcentral lists this transfer RNA (84 nucleotides) under Pseudooceanicola albus. Its description in RNAcentral is "tRNA-Leu". It matches the Rfam family "tRNA". From Rfam's summary of the family: Transfer RNA (tRNA) molecules are approximately 80 nucleotides in length. Their secondary structure includes four short double-helical elements and three loops (D, anti-codon, and T loops). Further hydrogen bonds mediate the characteristic L-shaped molecular structure. tRNAs have two regions of fundamental functional importance: the anti-codon, which is responsible for specific mRNA codon recognition, and the 3' end, to which the tRNAs corresponding amino acid is attached (by aminoacyl-tRNA synthetases). tRNAs cope with the degeneracy of the genetic code in two manners: having more than one tRNA (with a specific anti-codon) for a particular amino acid; and 'wobble' base-pairing, i.e. permitting non-standard base-pairing at the 3rd anti-codon position. RNAcentral also lists the same sequence under 1 other name. The record is from RNAcentral. Lineage: Bacteria; Pseudomonadati; Pseudomonadota; Alphaproteobacteria; Rhodobacterales; Paracoccaceae.
GCCCGCGUGGUGGAAUGGUAGACACAGGGGACUUAAAAUCCCUCGGCUUCGGCCUUGCCGGUUCGAGUCCGGCCGCGGGUACCA